UACGUAGGCAGCAAGCGUUGUUCGGAGUUACUGGGCGUAAAGGGUGCGUAGGUGGUCCGUUAAGUCAGUUGUGAAAUCCCCGGCUCAACUCGGGAACUGCUUCUGAUACUGGCGGACUUGAGGCCAGUAGGGGUCACUAGAACUGACGGUGGAGCGGUGAAAUGCGUAGAUAUCGUCAGGAAUGCCGGUGGUGAAGACGGGUGACUGGGCUGGUUCUGACACUGAGGCACGAAAGCGUGGGGAGCGAACGGG
This 252-nucleotide ribosomal RNA is filed under the name uncultured bacterium. RNAcentral's name for it is "partial 16S ribosomal RNA". It matches the Rfam family "Bacterial small subunit ribosomal RNA", at positions 524 to 776 of the family's 1533-position model. The record is from RNAcentral.